This is a long non-coding RNA of Spodoptera frugiperda (fall armyworm), 683 nucleotides long. RefSeq lists it as uncharacterized. The record is from RefSeq and is a predicted model, not a curated record. NCBI's taxonomy places the organism in Eukaryota, Metazoa, Arthropoda, Insecta, Lepidoptera, Noctuidae. The transcript is spliced from 2 exons.
AAGAUUGUUACGAUAAUUAGGACUUGUUUACUGCAUUUUUUUUUUCUUUAUUAUUUAAGGGGUUUUUAUCCAAACGGAUACGUCAACCCCAUCGUACCUUAUUAUCUAAUUUACACUCAGCUAAUCAUAUAUAAAAAUUAUUUAACUUUUUGAAAACUAUCCAUUAUUGAAAAAGUUUAAAUGUCCUAAAAUGUCUUCUCCAAAUAUUAUAUUGAUCAAAAAAUUCUUUAGUUCUUCUCCAAUAAUUUUUUCAAUGACAUUGCUAUUUGUUUACUGCAUUUGGUGACCGUCAUCUCACGAAUCUAUUUAAGUGGGGUAAGCUUGCCGAACAAGUCAUGUGUCGGUUGGCUUUCGCACAGGACGGUCGUGAGGUGUCGGCGCUAUUUGCUGUCAUCAUGUCUCCGAAAUUCUUAAUCUUGGUGCUGUUCAGCUUUCUGUACCUGGUAGCUCCUUCCUUCUGCCAAGAUUCAAAUACCAAUAAGGUCUUCUUAUAUGCUCGUCCAGGGUUUUAUGGUCAACGACAAAGUGGAUAUAAUGAAUAUUUCCGUGAGAAACCUAGAGAUAAGUGAAUAAAAUAUUGCAUUAUUCUAAAAAAUACAUAUCAUUGUGCUAGAAAGUGGAUUUGAACAACGCAAGCCUGUUCUAUGUACUGAAAGGUUUAAAAUAAAAAGGAUUGUUUAUUU